This 606-nucleotide ribosomal RNA is filed under the name Acinetobacter johnsonii. RNAcentral's name for it is "bacterial SSU rRNA". It matches the Rfam family "Bacterial small subunit ribosomal RNA", at positions 461 to 1066 of the family's 1533-position model. The record is from RNAcentral. Lineage: Bacteria; Pseudomonadati; Pseudomonadota; Gammaproteobacteria; Moraxellales; Moraxellaceae.
UAGGAUAGUGGACGUUACUCGCAGAAUAAGCACCGGCUAACUCUGUGCCAGCAGCCGCGGUAAUACAGAGGGUGCGAGCGUUAAUCGGAUUUACUGGGCGUAAAGCGUGCGUAGGCGGCUUCUUAAGUCGGAUGUGAAAUCCCUGAGCUUAACUUAGGAAUUGCAUUCGAUACUGGGAAGCUAGAGUAUGGGAGAGGAUGGUAGAAUUCCAGGUGUAGCGGUGAAAUGCGUAGAGAUCUGGAGGAAUACCGAUGGCGAAGGCAGCCAUCUGGCCUAAUACUGACGCUGAGGUACGAAAGCAUGGGGAGCAAACAGGAUUAGAUACCCUGGUAGUCCAUGCCGUAAACGAUGUCUACUAGCCGUUGGGGCCUUUGAGGCUUUAGUGGCGCAGCUAACGCGAUAAGUAGACCGCCUGGGGAGUACGGUCGCAAGACUAAAACUCAAAUGAAUUGACGGGGGCCCGCACAAGCGGUGGAGCAUGUGGUUUAAUUCGAUGCAACGCGAAGAACCUUACCUGGUCUUGACAUAGUAAGAACUUUCCAGAGAUGGAUUGGUGCCUUCGGGAACUUACAUACAGGUGCUGCAUGGCUGUCGUCAGCUCGUGUC